Long non-coding RNA from Drosophila simulans, 3193 nucleotides. RefSeq lists it as uncharacterized. Lineage: Eukaryota; Metazoa; Arthropoda; Insecta; Diptera; Drosophilidae. The transcript is spliced from 2 exons. The record is from RefSeq and is a predicted model, not a curated record.
AACAAACAUACAUACGUACAUACAUACAUAGUUAUGAAAAUAACGCGAAAAGGGGUGGGGUGGCAACCCUGGCGGUGCGUGCACGAAAAAUAAUGGAAAUGGAAGAAAACCAAAUGAAAUGCGAAAAAUGUACGAAAAUUUUCACAUUCAAUGACCUUGACAAUGGCUUUGGCCCAAGUCGCUCAACUUGUUUAUUUCAUUUACUUCGCUUGACGUGUGUGAGCGUAGAAAACGUGACGAGUUACGUACUUUUGGAGAAAGGUCAUUGAUCAUGGCUAAAUGUUGUUGCUUUUCGCUUAAUAGCGGUUUCAAAGUCAACAUCAACGCGCUGUUUUUGGCCAUUUCAGUAUUUCUAGUUUCGAUACCCCCAUCACCGUCCCUCCGUCGGAUUCCGGCGCUUUUUCGAACUGUUUCCCUUCAAAAACAGCUUUUUUUUCUUGAAUUCAGUGGCGCAAGGUUAAUAGUGCCGAAAACCGAAGCCGUUGGCCCGGGGAAAUUUCUGCGAGUUUUUUCGUCGCCUUGCCAAAAAAAAAAUAAGCAAACGAUCGAGCAACGAACUUCAGAAAAGCAAAUAGAGCCAACAAAAAGGAUCUCGCUGCCUGUUAUGUGGCCCACAAACCAAGACACGUUUUAUGGCCAUUAAAGCUGGCUGAUCGACGCCAAACACCAAAUACAUAAUGAAUAUGUACAUUCGAGAAAGAAGCGAUCAAAGAAGCGUCUUCGGGCGGAGUAGGAGAAUGCGGAGGAGAAGGAGAACGAGCUGAUCUAGUAUCUCUCCACAAUCCAAUGCCAACUGACCAACUGGCCAUAUUCGGAGCAAUUUGAAGCCAAUUUCCAUCGCCUGGCGAUCGCUCCAUUCUUGGCUAUAUGUUUUUCACCGUUAGCCGGGGCCAUUUCCAAAGACUCGUCUGCAAGAUAAGAUUGUGUCACUCGCUGUCUCUCUUCUUUAAUCGAAGAAUGCUGAAGAAUUUCGCGAUGACGUCGGCGAGUAUUUCCAAGAAUGAGAAUAAUUUGUAUUUGUUUGAACAUCAGUUAGUGGAAUUUUCUACAAAAACAUGUUGACUAUGAUAAAGAACUGGAAUUAAGUGGCAUAUUUUGCAUUGAUUUCCGAUAUUAAUUAUAUUUCAAUAAAAUAAAGCUUUUGUAAAGUAAAAUAAAUACCUUUAAUGUAUUAUUAUUUUCUUAUACUGAUGAUAUUUUAAAGAUGAUGCCUGACCAAAAAGCUUGAAUUUCUGCGUUUUUCGCCGAACCCAGUGCAUGUGCAAUUGUUGUUUUUUGGAAGAUUCGCAAUUUUCGAACUGUCCUCUUUGAUUUCAGUUUCUUGGCUUAAUCAAAAAGCGAAAUAAAGCCAAAAAAGCGAGAUGGCAAUACCAAAUGCGGCAAAACGGUAGAGGAUGGAGAGGGGUGCGGGGCAGCGGAAGGAAGGGUGGGGCGGGGCGUGGCGGGGUCUGUGGCUGGGCGCGACGUCACCGACGUUGGAGCCACUCCUUUGACCAUGUGUGCGUGUGUGUAUUCGUGUCUCGCCACUCGCCCGCUUGUUGUUUUCUUUUUAUGCUGCGCUCUCUCUAGCGCCAUCUCGCUCACGCAUGCUCAACGCACCGUAUGUUGCCGUUUCCUUUUAUGCGUCAUUUUGGCUCGAAAUAGGCAAUUAUUUAAACAAAGAUUAGUCAACGAAAACGCGCAAAUAAAUAAGUCUUCAAUAUGGUUACUUAUUGCCAUGUGUGUGCAGCCAACGAUAGCAACAAAAGCAACAACACAGGCGGCUUUCCCUCUUUCACUUUUUUGUUUGCAAGCCGCGUGCGAGCGAGAUGGCACGACCGGCAAACGCAAUCACGCUGACGAAGUUUUGGCGAAAAACAUAAAGGCGCCUGAUAGGAAUGCAUUUUCAAUAACAAAUGCGAUAUUUAAUAUUGUUCGAACAGUUGCAUAGUUCGACUUGAAAAGACACAAAAAAAAAAAAAAAAAAACAAAUUAUUUGGAAGAGAAUUAAGAAUCGGACGCUUAUCAUUGGGGCAACAACAAGAAAUGCUUACUGAGUCACCACAGCCUCUGGAAAAAUGCCGCAAGCCAGAGAGCGAGAGAGAAAAAGAGGGAGAGCAGCUUACACCGCAUGUGUUUGUGUGUGAGGCGUCUCUCUCUUCGUCUCUGUUGCGCAAACGCAUAGACUGCACUGCAAAUAUCGAUUACCUAUUUUUUAUGAAUGAAUAUUUGCACUAUUACUAUUCAAAACUAUUAAGAAACCAAUCACUUCCAAUCGCCACAUACUUUAACACCUAAGCUAUGCAACGAAAUGAUCAAUUUGUGCCAAAAUGCUGCAUAUUUAGGACCAGCAUCAUUUUUCAAAUGCUUCUUGCUGUGUACUUUUCUCUCGUCUGGCAGCUGUUUCGCCGUUAUUGUUAAAACCGGCUUUAGUAAGGUGUCUUUUUCACGACUAGUGAAUGCCCUACUAGAGGAUGUUCAACAGCUUAGGGAAAGAAGCGUGUGUUGCACAUGUUUUUUUUUAUUUUUUUAUAAACAUCAUUGAUCAAUGGUCCCUCGAAAAACCAAUUUAAAGUGCAGAUAGCAAUUUCUUAUUGGAACUCAAUGUCCUUACAAAAAGGUUGCUCUCAAACAGUAAACGUAAGCUAAUAAGAAUUAUUACUGUAAUGUUUUAAUACCGCUGUACAUUACUAAUAAAACUACGACCAAAAUAUGUACAUAUAUUUUUUGGCAUACAAUGAGUAGUUGGGGAAAAAAUGUGUAAAAGCACCGUGACCAUCACAGCAUAAAGAUAACCAGCUGAAGUAUUGAAUAUGAGUAACCCCAAGCUGAAUCACAUGCCACAACUGAUAGGACCCAUGGAAGUACAAUAUACAUGGCGAUAUACAAGACACACACACGCACGCACACCCAGUUGCACUUGGGCAGAGGAAAUUCUCCGUAAAUGAAAACCGAAUCGGCGAACAAUUCAUACCCAUAUAUGGUAAAAGUUUUGAACGCGACUUGAGAGCGGAGAGCAUUGCGGCUGAUAAGGUUUUAGCGCUAAGCGGGCUUUAUAAAACGGGCGGCGGGACCAGUUUUCAUAUCACUACCGUUUGAGUUCUUGUGCUGUGUGGAUACUCCUCCCGACACAAAGCCGCUCCAUCAGCCAGCAGUCGUCUAAUCCAGAGACACCAAACCGAAAGACUUAAUUUAUAUUUAUUUAAUUAAUUUU